CUUGAACUAGAUAAGAGGUCCAGCCUGCCCAGUGAAAAUAUUCAACGGCCGCGGUAUCCUAACCGUGCGAAGGUAGCGUAAUCACUUGUUCUUUAAAUGAGGACUAGUAUGAAUGGCACCACGAGGGUUUUACUGUCUUCUUUUUUUAAUCAGUGAAACUAAUCUCCCCGUGAAGAAGCGGGAAUUUAAUUAUAAGACGAGAAGACCCUAUGGAGCUUUAAACAAACAACAUUUGCUGCACAUAACACUUUUACUUUUAAAAAGUAUAGCAUUAUGAUUUUUAGUUUUUGAUUGGGGUGAUCACGGAGCAAAAUGAAACCUCCACGCCGAAAGGGUUUUACCCUGAGCAAAAAGCUACAGCUUUAAGCACUAAGAAAUUAACGCAAUUUGACCCAAUAUUUUGAUCAACGAAC
RNAcentral lists this ribosomal RNA (413 nucleotides) under Boana diabolica group sp. ABGD cluster 32. RNAcentral describes it as "partial large subunit ribosomal RNA". It matches the Rfam family "Bacterial large subunit ribosomal RNA", at positions 1833 to 2447 of the family's 2925-position model. The record is from RNAcentral. Lineage: Eukaryota; Metazoa; Chordata; Amphibia; Anura; Hylidae.